CAGAGGCUUGCUUGAAUAGCAAAAAUAAGUUUUUAUUUAGAUUUGCUGCUUAAACAAGUCUCACCUCAACACAGCUGUGGCAAAUAAUCAGGUUGUCCUCAUUUGUCUGCCGUAGGCUACUCUCAUCUGCGCCUCUGAUGAUGACGAAAAAGAAGACGAGAGUCCAGAUCCACCACUUGGUUUGAGUACUGUAAGUGGACCUGGCAAGAACACAUAGUUCAGAGGCCUGGCUUGGCGACAGCAUCUGUGGCCGUCAGCGCUCUGAUUUAUGGCGGGCGGUAAAUGUGCCGUCGCCACGUCUUUGGCUCCUGCCCGUUUGCCAGCUCAGCAGGAAGUCGCUCGCUCUCUGCUGAGUCACUCGGCGUGGAGGUGAGAGCGACCCUGGACGCUCCCGACCAUAGCGUCCACCCCUGGCCCUCCUCCCUUGAACCUUUUCCCAGGACAGUGGCGGUACAAACUGCACGUGAGUGGUGCUAGAAAGACUCCAGACCCACACAGCUCGGUGACAUCUGACCACCACCACCACUGCCGCCACCCAAACAAACUAACAAACAAGACUCAGCCUGUACACAGUGAUGGAUGAUGACAAGUGUUAUGCAAUAAUUGAUGAACGCAGUUUGUCAGUUUGAGUUUGAGAUGCCCCGUCUCAGUGACACUUGAUCAAAACACUGCCUCCUAACCAAAAAGGACUUCUCAGCAAAACACUGGAAUACUUUUUGAUGGAUCUGAAUGAAUUAUUUACUUUUGAGUCGGUUUGAGAUGCCAUUAUUUAACCCCUUUUCUAUCACUUCAAUAGCUUCCAGUCAGUGUGUUGUAGAUGCCCAUUCCCAUGAAUACAGACAGAUGUAGUUGCGUUAGUGAUGCAACUGAGGUUUAU
Long non-coding RNA from Alosa alosa (allis shad), 877 nucleotides. RefSeq lists it as uncharacterized. Lineage: Eukaryota; Metazoa; Chordata; Actinopteri; Clupeiformes; Clupeidae. The record is from RefSeq and is a predicted model, not a curated record. The transcript has 3 exons.